Long non-coding RNA from Balaenoptera musculus (blue whale), 2794 nucleotides. RefSeq lists it as uncharacterized. The transcript is spliced from 2 exons. The record is from RefSeq and is a predicted model, not a curated record. NCBI's taxonomy places the organism in Eukaryota, Metazoa, Chordata, Mammalia, Artiodactyla, Balaenopteridae.
AUCAUGAAAUGGAUAUUGAAUUUCGUCAAAUGCUUCUGCCUCUGUUGAGAAGAUCAUGUGGCUUUUCUUCCCCGUUCUGUUGAUGUGGUGAGUUACACUAGGUCUUGAGUGUUGACCAGACUUCCACCUACAGGGCCCCUUCCAGUCCCAGGCCUCAUGCUGUCUCUGAUUGAAAGUCAGUCUCAUUCUUAUCCUAUUCUUCCGUGUGCAAUUUCCUUUCUUUUUCUGGCUGCUUUUAAGAUUUUCUCUUCACCACUUGCUUUCAGCAAUUUGAUUGUGAUGUGCAUUGGUUAUCAUUUUUUUUUGUGCUUUAUCCUCCUUGGGAAUCAUUGAAAUUCUUGGAUCUGUGGGUUUACAGCUUUCAAAGAAAAAAAAAACUGGGGAAAAUUUCAACCAGUAUUUCUAAAAUUCUCCUCCCUCCUUUACUCUGGAACUUAAAUUGUGUGUCAGACCACAUGACAUUAUCCCCAUAAGGCUCUGCUCACUUUUUUCAGUCUUUUUUUCCUCUCUGUGAUCACUGCAUAGUUUCUUUUGCUAGUCUAGUGUUCGGUGAUCUUUUCUUCUGCAGUUUCUAAUCUGCUGUUUAAUCCCCUCCAGUGACUUAUAAAAACAAGCUUUAAAUUUUAGAAAGUUAGAUUUACAGAAAAGCUAGACAGUACAUAGUUCCCACACAUCCCACGCCCAGUUUCCCUAUUAUUAACACCCUGCAUUAGUGCAUAUGCCACAAGUAACGAAUCAAUAUACUGAUAGUUUAUUUUUAACCAAAGUCCCCAUUUUGUUCAGAUUUCCUUAGUUUUUACCUAAUGUCUUUCUAUUCCAGGACAUCAUCCGAGACAUUACAUUCUCGUCUUCUUACGUCAUUCCUGACAGUCUCAGACUUUCCUGGUUUCUGAUGCCCUUGACAGUUCUGAGGAGGACUAGGCUGGUAUUGUGUAGAAUGUUGCUCAACUUGGAUUCGUCGGAUGUUUUUUCCCUCAUGAUGAGUUGGGGUUACAUAAGUUUUUGGAGAGGAAGACCACAGAGGUGGCUUGCCCUGCCCAUCACAGCACGUCAGGGCACACCCGUCAACGUGACUCAUCACUGCUGGCGGAGGCCUGUCUGUCAGGCAUCUCCACUGUACAGUCUCUCCCCUCACCCGCUCCUGUACUCCUCAGAAGGAAGUCUGUGUGCAGCCAACACUGAAGGGUGGGAAUUAUGUGUUACCUCUUUGAAGGGAGUCAACAGAAAUAAUUUGGAAUUCUUCUGCAUGGGACACUUGUUCCAGAGAUAUUUUGUUCAAUUUCCUUCCUUUUUAUAUCUUCCAUUUCUCUGUCUUAAUGUUUUCUCUCUACUUCUUUGAGCACACAGAGCAUUUUAAUAACUCUUUUAAUGUCCUUGCUCGCCACUUCCAUCACACCUGGAUCUGUUACUAUGACUUUUCUCUUCUUGGUUACAGGUCACAUUCUCAUGCCAAGUGGAUCAUCUAUUAGUUUUGACUAGAUCCUGGACACGAAGAACUCUACUACAUUGUGUCUGAGUUUAGCUGUCCUCCUUUCAGGAGUGCUGCACCCUCAGUCCUGCAGGAAAGGGUCAGCCAGAUCCUUUCAAGGCUUGUUUUUAAGCUCGUCUACACCGCAUUUGGGUAGCCUUUUUCUCUGGGGCUAAUCCAGCCCCACGUUCAAGCCGUGGCUGUUCUGAGGUCCGUGAAGGGCUCUGUAUGUUAGAGUGGUCUCUCCGCUCUGGCUGCGAGGAAUCGAUGACUCGGCCAGCUCUAGGUGAGCCUGGAGGUCGCGCACCACACGGCUCCUCAGUGGCUGCCCCUUCCCUGGAAGUUCUCGGGCGGCUUCCCAGGCUCCCCACACGGACGGGCGAAGCAGCACUCGACCAAGAUCCGCAGGGGCUCACGUGCGGCUCCUCCUCUCUGGUACCAGGCCUUGCAAAUUCUGGCUGUCUCAGCUUCUCCGAAGGCCAGGCUCUCGGAGUCUGAACGCUGCCUCCAGAUAGAAAGCCUAGGCACCUGGAGGGCUCACCUGUCCCUCCUGUUCAACAAUCCUGAACACUGUUGGUGGGUUGAGUCCAUGUUGAAUGUGUCCUGCCAGCCUGACCUUAAGGUCUGUUAGAAGUCUGACAGGGCCUUCUGGUGAGUCCAUCGCAGAACCCGAUGUCUCCUCCUCCUCUGCUGACCACGUGCAAUUCUUGCAGGAAGUCUUGGCUUACCCUUAGAUAUAACGGAAACCAGUGAUGGGAAAUACGGCAGGACCGGGGAGAAGAUGUUGCCCAGCUGCUGGCUGGCGAGCAAUGCCCUUGCCCCUGAGAUGCAGUUCUUAGUAAAUAUCAAGUCUUACUGUAAAUUCAGAGACUGUGGCCCUAUUUCCUACACAACUGUGAACAACCUGAAACGUAUACAAAGUUUUGCACGGUCGCAGCACAGGCCCCAGGACCAAAGCAUCCCCGCUCAUGUCCAGCCGCUGGCCCCAUGCUCGGGUCUCCAGGCCCAGCUGAACAUCUGCACACGGGUGACUGCUGACUCAGUAACUGCCGGGGCCUCCCAGUGGCAGGAGACUGUGGGGCAGCUGCCAGCACCUCCAGGAUCGGGAAGCAUUCAGGGAGCCGGCCUCCCUCCUUCCACGGCCUGCGAGGCCAGCCUCUGCUAGCCCUGCAGAUCUCAAGGAAACCCUGCAGCCAAAGGUGCAGGCUCUGGGGUCUUUAGCCCGGCGCCUGUGAUAUCUGAUGGGAGCUGACCGCUCAUUCCAGGGUGGGUCCUGUGGACCCUGCUGACCCCUUCCUGGUCCUUUAAUAAAGAAUUCUGAGCACA